GAAAAAAAAAAAAAAAAAAAAAAAAAAAAAAAAAAAA
RNAcentral lists this non-coding RNA (37 nucleotides) under Alexandrium minutum. The record is from RNAcentral. Lineage: Eukaryota; Dinophyceae; Gonyaulacales; Pyrocystaceae.